This 489-nucleotide ribosomal RNA is filed under the name uncultured bacterium. Its description in RNAcentral is "partial 16S ribosomal RNA". It matches the Rfam family "Bacterial small subunit ribosomal RNA", at positions 28 to 507 of the family's 1533-position model. The record is from RNAcentral.
GACGAACGCUGGCGGCGUGCUUAACACAUGCAAGUCGAACGGUGAAGGGAUCAGCUUGCUGGUUCUGGAUGAGUGGCGAACGGGUGAGUAACACGUGAGUAACCUGCCCCCUUCUUCUGGAUAACCGCAUGAAAGUGUGGCUAAUACGGGAUAUUCUGCGCCUGCUGCAUGGUGGGUGUGGGAAAGAUAUUGUUUCGGUGGGGGAUGGGCUCGCGGCCUAUCAGCUUGUUGGUGGGGUGAUGGCCUACCAAGGCGGUGACGGGUAGCCGGCCUGAGAGGGGGGACGGUCACACUGGGACUGAGACACGGCCCAGACUCCUACGGGAGGCAGCAGUGGGGAAUAGUGCACAAUGGGCGCAAGCCUGAUGCAGCGACGCCGCGUGAGGGAUGGAGGCCUUCGGGUUGUGAACCUCUUUCGCCAGUGAAGCAGGCCUGUCCCGUGUGGGUGGGUUGACGGUAGCUGGAGAAGAAGCGCCGGCUAACUACGUG